Molecule: unclassified non-coding RNA, 2459 nt
Filed under: Leishmania donovani
Lineage: Eukaryota; Euglenozoa; Kinetoplastea; Trypanosomatida; Trypanosomatidae
Description: gene:LdHU3.32.5040(CDS-product:enolase_putative)
Source: RNAcentral
AUCAUUUGAGAAGAAACAGGCGCACACGCAGUGAGUGCGGUGCUGCCCUGAUCUUGUGUGAGGAAGCGUGUAAUACGCAUACACACAUACAGGGCUGCUCGUGCUUCUGCAGAGACGGGUGAGCUUGCCGCCUUGUGCCGGCGUUCCUCCUGCUGCGCGGCGGUGCCUCGAGGCCGGUGCUUUUCCAGUGCGCGUCUUGCCUGUCGGCUGCCUGCCGCGGCACCAUGUCGAGCUCUGUGUCAUGGCAGCGCUACGACGAUGAGUUCCACGUCUCUGGCGUUCUUACGGAGGCAGCGCGGGCGUGUGUGUCAGCCCACCCGACCGAUGUGAAAGACUUCUUCUCCCGCUACUUCCGUGAGGUGGCUGGGGGGACGUCUGUGAAGGCGCUUCAUCACAACGAGGUGCUGAGCGCGGCUGGUGAGACAGCUAUCACCUUCACCCUGGAGCUCUGCGUGGGGCCUGAGGUGUCCGUGACCACCGGCGAUUCGCUUUCAUUCGCCGAUAGGGGCAGGGAUGGAGAGGCGUGCGCGUCCCUGGCAGCGUCGGAAGGGGUCACCGACGCCGAGGGCAACCGCUACUCCGUGAUCCAAACCACGUGUGCUGCGGCGGUGUCGAAACUACUUCAGCUCGGCCACGCAGAGCCGCAGUGCGAGUGGGAUUCGGCUCUACGGGCUGCGAUCUCCACGUCCCCACUCGCCAAUGGCGCCUCUGCACUUCAAUGGGUGCUGAGCAUCAUGGCGUCUUUGGUGGCCGCUAAACAGCGCUGCGUUCCACUGCACCACUACGUUGCUGCGCUGAUCGAUGACCGCCGCAGUGGUGGACCCGCCGCUGGCGGCGCGCACUUGGCACUCUCGCAAAACGGUGUCUCAGCAGCUUCAACAGCGCGAGCUGGCUCAUACACGUCAGUGCGACCGUACUCUGUACCGCAGUUGCUGGUGACAUUCUUGGUUCGCGCCGCCGGAUCAGACGCGCCGGAAGCGGCGCAUGGUGUGCGCUUCUCUCACGUGUAUGUUGCCUUGGAUGCGCUGACCUCGCCUGUGGGCGACGCGAACGGGGCUGAGAAGCCGAUGCCCGUCAGCGGCGCUGUGCUGCGGCAGCGCAUGCAGAAGGUGCGCCAGGCUGCUGAGCGCUUUGCGCAAUCCCACCCCACCUCCUCCAGCGUGGACACGCGUGGGGGACUACACUGGGACGGCGCCGCAAACCUAACAGACGUUGUGAAAGCUGUGACGGAGGCGCUGUCUGAUGCUCAACUGAACGUCGGCGCGGAGGUGUGCGUGGGCCUGUCAAUGAGAGCGUCCACGACACAGGUGCCUGCAGCCAACACGGCGGACGGUGGCGCGGCCAAGAAUGCCUCCGGAGACUGCAGGGUGCUAUACAGCCUCUUUGGAGGCGGAGAGCCGCCGGUAACGGGUGAUCAGCUCAGCGAGUACGUCAAGGAGCAGCUGAAAGAGGUGGACCCGGACAUUGUGCAGUUUCUCGAGGAUACUCAUGCCAUGGAAGACUGCGUCGCUCGCCAGAGGCUUCAGAUGGCUCUGCAGGACUCCAUCGUUCUGAGUGACAUGGUUGCUGGGCAACGGGAGUCAGGGCCGGCAGCAUCGGGCCUGGCCAGUUCGUUACCCGUACCGGCUCACGACGGCGCGUUCCCGAACAUUGUGAUGAACCCCUGCGACUGUGGCACCAUAAGCGACGUUAUCGAGUACAUGUGUGCUACCGGGGAGGAUUCGCGCCGGGCAGUAACUGUUUUAGUCGGCACUGCUGCCGGGGAUCCGCAGACUGCGGCUCACGUCGUCGAUUUGGCAAUCGCCGGCGGCGCGUCUUAUGUGCUCGUCAGCGCCGGCGUCUUCAGUGCGCACACAGCUGCAGCGGUGAGCCGACUGGCAUCUCGAACGGACGAGUUGACGAGUAUGCAGAUGGUGGCACCAAGGCCGUCUGCGCAGCGUUUCAACCGCUACGACUGGCCGCCGCUGCCCACCGCGGAGGUCGCACCGAUCCGCCGGAAGGGUGACAAAAAGAAGAAGGAUAUCAGCAAGGCCAACAGCAAGCGGAAGUAGGCCCUGUGAGGCGGCGGGCCUAGGGGCGAGAAGGAUGCCGUGGGUGGACGGGGCAGUUGGUUGGUCGUCGUCUUGCGCUUGAUUCGCCGCCGCGCACCCAUCCACACCACCGCUUUUCUUUCCGUCCUCAUGGGCUGCACCUCCACCCCUCGCUGAUCCCCGAACUGCCCGCCUACCAGCGCAAGAUGGGAAGAAGUGUGUGCGCGUGUUUGGGGGGGGGGUGGGUGGGAAGGGGGAAGGAGGGUCGCUUUCCUCCGGCAUUUGCGUCUCUCGGGCACUUCAAGGCGCAUCUCGUGUGCUGCGCUGUGGCUCACUGUGCCCUGCCGUAUCGCUCGUCUUGCUUUUCGGAUUACAUGUCUUAUGAUGUACAGCUCCUCCGUAUCAAAGCAGCGACCGUGACGGCAGCAG